This 440-nucleotide ribosomal RNA is filed under the name uncultured bacterium. Its description in RNAcentral is "partial 16S ribosomal RNA". It matches the Rfam family "Bacterial small subunit ribosomal RNA", at positions 338 to 795 of the family's 1533-position model. The record is from RNAcentral.
CCUACGGGAGACAGCAGUGGGGAAUAUUGCACAAUGGGGGAAACCCUGAUGCAGCGACGCCGCGUGAGUGAAGAAGUAAUUCGUUAUGUAAAGCUCUAUCAGCAGGGAAGAAAAUGACGGUACCUGAGUAAGAAGCCCCGGCUAACUACGUGCCAGCAGCCGCGGUAAUACGUAGGGGGCAAGCGUUAUCCGGAUUUACUGGGUGUAAAGGGAGCGUAGACGGCAGUGCAAGUCUGGAGUGAAAGGCGGGGGCUCAACCCCCGGACUGCUCUGGAAACUGUACGGCUGGAGUGCAGGAGAGGUAAGUGGAAUUCCUAGUGUAGCGGUGAAAUGCGUAGAUAUUAGGAGGAACACCAGUGGCGAAGGCGGCUUAAUGGACUGUAACUGACAUUGAUGCUCGAAAGUGUGGGUAUCAAACAGGAUUAGAUACCCCAGUAGUC